GCACACUUUAUUAUGACCUUGAUUGUAAAAUAAAGAAAAGCCCAGCCUGAGGGGCUUAAAUAAAUCCAUCGAAUUGUCCCAAUACAACCUUUGUGCAUAAAUCACUCAAAGCUGCACGAGCUAUAUGUGAGAUCUGAUGAACAAGUCAAAAGGUCGGACAUUAGUUUGACGGGUGGAACUGAAAACAAUCGUAAAGAAUAGAAAAUGAUGCAGAAGAAAAGCCUACGACGGCCUGAUAGUAGCAUGUUUCACGGAAGCAGAUGGCAUCACCGGUUAUAACCAGUAUCAAGUAAACGACAGAUCGAGUUAGGAAAAAACUAGGAACACGUACCAAUUCCGACUGAAUGGUGCAAAUACAACAUGUAUUUAGAACGGCGGAGCCUGAUCCAACUGCAGACAGUACUGAUCUAUGCCUUCAAACUUAGAUUGACAAAUGAAAGGUCUAGUGACGAUAAAACACUCGCACGUGCCGAUGAGAGCAU
Mercenaria mercenaria is the source of this 482-nucleotide long non-coding RNA. RefSeq lists it as uncharacterized. NCBI's taxonomy places the organism in Eukaryota, Metazoa, Mollusca, Bivalvia, Venerida, Veneridae. The transcript is spliced from 3 exons. The record is from RefSeq and is a predicted model, not a curated record.